Molecule: ribosomal RNA, 550 nt
Filed under: uncultured bacterium
Lineage: Bacteria
Description: bacterial SSU rRNA
Rfam family: Bacterial small subunit ribosomal RNA
Source: RNAcentral
UAGGGAAUCUUCCGCAAUGGACGCAAGUCUGACGGAGCAACGCCGCGUGAGUGAAGAAGGUUUUCGGAUCGUAAAACUCUGUUGUUAGAGAAGAACAAGUGCUAGAGUAACUGUUAGCGCCUUGACGGUAUCUAACCAGAAAGCCACGGCUAACUACGUGCCAGCAGCCGCGGUAAUACGUAGGUGGCAAGCGUUGUCCGGAUUUAUUGGGCGUAAAGCGAGCGCAGGCGGUUCCUUAAGUCUGAUGUGAAAGCCCCCGGCUCAACCGGGGAGGGUCAUUGGAAACUGGGGAACUUGAGUGCAGAAGAGGAGAGUGGAAUUCCAUGUGUAGCGGUGAAAUGCGUAGAUAUAUGGAGGAACACCAGUGGCGAAGGCGACUCUCUGGUCUGUAACUGACGCUGAGGCCCGAAAGCGUGGGUAGCAAACAGGAUUAGAUACCCUGGUAGUCCACGCCGUAAACGAUGAGUGCUAAGUGUUGGAGGGUUUCCGCCCUUCAGUGCUGCAGUUAACGCAUUAAGCACUCCGCCUGGGGAGUACGACCGCAAGGUUG